UACGGAGGGUGCAAGCGUUAUCCGGAUUCACCGGGUUUAAAGGGUGCGUAGGCGGGUUGGUAAGUCCGUGGUGAAAUCCCCAAGCUUAACUUGGGAACUGCCGUGGAUACUAUCAAUCUUGAAUAUCGUGGAGGUAAGCGGAAUAUGUCAUGUAGCGGUGAAAUGCUUAGAUAUGACAUAGAACACCAAUUGCGUAGGCAGCUUACUACACGAUCAUUGACGCUGAGGCACGAAAGCGUGGGGAGCAAACAGG
RNAcentral lists this ribosomal RNA (253 nucleotides) under uncultured bacterium. RNAcentral describes it as "partial 16S ribosomal RNA". It matches the Rfam family "Bacterial small subunit ribosomal RNA", at positions 524 to 776 of the family's 1533-position model. The record is from RNAcentral.